Gasterosteus aculeatus aculeatus (three-spined stickleback) is the source of this 952-nucleotide long non-coding RNA. NCBI's taxonomy places the organism in Eukaryota, Metazoa, Chordata, Actinopteri, Perciformes, Gasterosteidae. The record is from Ensembl.
UAUAUAUGGUCCCUGCAUAUAUGCAUAUACAGUACAUAUAGGCUCCCUGCAUAUAUGUAUAGAGAGUAUAUAUCGGCCACCUGCAUAUAUGUAUAUAUAGUACAUAUAGGCUCCCUGCAUAUAUGUAUAUACAGUACAUAUAGGCUCCCUGCAUAUAUGUAUAUACAGUACAUAUAGGCUCCCUGCAUAUAUGUAUAGAGAGUAUAUAUCGGCCACCUGCAUAUAUGUAUAUAUAGGCUCCCUGCAUAUAUGUAUAUAUAGGUUCCCUGCAUAUAUGUAUAUACAGUACAUAUAGGCUCCCUGCAUAUAUGUAUAUAUAAUAUAUAGGCUCCCUGCAUAUAUGUAUAUAUAGUAUAUAUAGGCUCCCUGCAUAUAUGUAUAUAUAGUAUAUAUAGGCUCCCUGCAUAUAUGUAUAUACAGUAUAUAGGCUCCCUGCAUAUAUGUAUAUACAGUAUAUAUAGGCUCCCUGCAUAUAUGUAUAUAUAAUAUAUAGGCUCCCUGCAUAUAUGUAUAUAUAGUAUAUAUAGGCUCCCUGCAUAUAUGUAUAUACAGUAUAUAGGCUCCCUGCAUAUAUGUAUAUACAGUAUAUAUAGGCUCCCUGCAUUUGUGUUAUGUAUUGUGUGUACAGAUAUGUACAUAUGUUUUAAUGUUUUUCUAUAACGGAGACAAGUGUAAAAGCUUGUUCAGCGUGUGUAUUUUACUCAUCAGGCGUUUUCUCGGUCAACGACCAAAUUGAUAUUUCAAAAGCUGGUCACACAAUUUCAAGACUGCAUUUGACCUUUUACCAAACAAACCAUGAAUCAUCUUGGAGUGUCUGCUGCGCUCUGUGAGGUCAUUAUCGCGGGGUUAAUAUGGGACUGCGUCUUGGGUCGAUGGGGAUUGCAAAGUGCCAAUUAUCACGGAACAUAUAACACUUCAUCCAAUUAGUCUUUUUUCCUGCAAUAGUUAACGU